Molecule: long non-coding RNA, 864 nt
Organism: Bos taurus (domestic cattle)
Lineage: Eukaryota; Metazoa; Chordata; Mammalia; Artiodactyla; Bovidae
Source: Ensembl
CGGAAAAACAACCCACCACGGAUGUCACAUCCUCUUGGAAGUUUCACACCUUGCAGAGCGGACUCUGUGUGAGGCCCAUUGUUGUGCCACCAACACGUGAAAAGCUUUAUUAAACCUCGUCCGUUGCAGCCAAGCUUGACAAGCGAACGAGCCGCAUUUCUUCCGAGUGGAGUAGAUUUGCUGGGGGCGGGCGGAAUUCGGCUCCCUCCCUGACGCUCCCGGGAAGCCAGCGCGGUCCCAGCCCCCGGCCCUUUGUGCGGGCGCCCGGCGCCCAGCAAUUGUGUCUCUAAUCAACUGCCUCUAAGCAGGACCCUGUCUGAGGAGGGGGCUGCUACCCCAGCUGCCAAAGGCUGAGAGCCCAGGGAAGCACAUCCCAGCCUUCUUCCAGGGACUGGAGGUGAGGGGAGGGUGACACCGGAGCCUCCCCAGGAGUACAAGCCAGCCCAGCUUUGAGAGAUGGAGAGCAAGAAACCGAUAUCCAGGGGAAGCCAGAGCUAUGCCUUGCUGGACUGUAAUGCACUGAGUAUUUUGCAGGCCCUGUGGAUCAAUAGCAAUGCAUAAUUGAGAGAUGAAACACUGCCUGGUUACACAGCCGUGAGACUGAGAGAUGCGGUGGGCCCUAGCCAGCCCCAGAGUCCUUCUGAGGCUUGCUGCCUGGUUUCAAGGCAUCUCCCUCAAUCCCUACCCUCUCCAUACUCAGGUAGAACAGCCUCCAUUUAGUGGAAGUGAAGCUCAUGCCAGAUACCGGUAGUGUGGGAUGGUGGUUAAGAGUGCAGGCUCUGGAGUCAGACUGUAUCAGCUAGCCAUUGCCACAAUCAUGCUGUGUAACAACAACAACAACAAAAUGUUUUUGAUAAAACCUCA